RNAcentral lists this ribosomal RNA (603 nucleotides) under uncultured fungus. RNAcentral's name for it is "eukaryotic LSU rRNA". The stretch from base 232 to 385 matches the Rfam family "5.8S ribosomal RNA". The record is from RNAcentral. Lineage: Eukaryota; Fungi.
AGUAAAAGUCGUAACAAGGUUUCCGUAGGUGAACCUGCGGAAGGAUCAUUAAAGAGUAAGGGUGCUCAGCGCCCGACCUCCAACCCUUUGUUGUUAAAACUACCUUGUUGCUUUGGCGGGACCGCUCGGUCUCGAGCCGCUGGGGAUUCGUCCCAGGCGAGCGCCCGCCAGAGUUAAACCAAACUCUUGUUAUUAAACCGGUCGUCUGAGUUAAAAUUUUGAAUAAAUCAAAACUUUCAACAACGGAUCUCUUGGUUCUCGCAUCGAUGAAGAACGCAGCGAAAUGCGAUAAGUAAUGUGAAUUGCAGAAUUCAGUGAAUCAUCGAAUCUUUGAACGCACAUUGCGCCCCUUGGUAUUCCGAGGGGCAUGCCUGUUCGAGCGUCAUUACACCACUCAAGCUAUGCUUGGUAUUGGGUGCCGUCCUUCACUGGGCGCGCCUUAAAGACCUCGGCGAGGCCUCACCGGCUUUAGGCGUAGUAGAAUUUAUUCGAACGUCUGUCAAAGGAGAGGACUUCUGCCGACUGAAACCUUUUAUUUUUCUAGGUUGACCUCGGAUCAGGUAGGGAUACCCGCUGAACUUAAGCAUAUCAAUAAGCGGAGGA